AUUGAACGCUGCCGGCAGGCCUAACACAUGCAAGUCGAACGAGUGGCGGAAGGGGGAGUAAUGUCUGGGAAACCGCCCGGUGGAGGGGGAUAACUACUGGAAACGGGAGCUAAUACCGCAUACCAUCGGAUGUGCCCCGCGGGGAUUAGCUAGUAGGUGGGGUAACGGCUUACCUAGGCGACGAUCCCUAGCUGGUCUGAGAGGAUGACCAGCCACACUGGAACUGAGACACGGUCCAGACUCCUACGGGAGGCAGCAGUGGGGAAUAUUGCACAAUGGGCGCAAGCCUGAUGCAGCCAUGCCGCGUGUAUGAAGAAGGCCUUCGGGUUGUAAAGUACUUUCAGCGGGGAGGCGUUACUCGCAGAGGAAGCACCGGCUAACUCCGUGCCAGCAGCCGCGGUAAUAC
Molecule: ribosomal RNA, 406 nt
Filed under: uncultured bacterium
Lineage: Bacteria
Description: partial 16S ribosomal RNA
Rfam family: Bacterial small subunit ribosomal RNA
Source: RNAcentral